GAGACAAUUGUUUCGUUCCGGUCCGCUUCCUGGGUUGCGAUACCGCGAUCAGCCCCACGCACGCAAAAGGAAACCUCGCUCCUCGCAGGAAACCUCACGCCUCCAAUCGCUCUCUCCCCCUCGCGAGAUCCCUCGCCCCUGUGCGGCCGCCCCUCGCUCCCUCGCGAGAUCCCUCGCCCCCGUGCAGUCGUGCCCCUCGCGAGAUCCCUCGCCCCCGUGCAGUUGUGCCCCUCGCGAGAUCCCUCGCCCCCAUGUGGCCGUGCCCCUCGCCGUGCGCUACCGUGCGCCUCUCCCCGUGGAUGCUACUGCAGAUUGCAGUGCUGCCCCGUAGCGGCAGUGGCUGGUGGCCAGCAGUAACCAACAGGCGAGCAGAGCAGAUCGUGGACUGCAGCAGCCGGCUCCCUCGACUCGGCCCCUUGGCGGUCGAUGGCGGUCGACUCUCGCCGGCGGCCAGCAACCAAGCAUUGAAGGUAACCAGACACAAGUCUCCUCAACACGCAAUGAUUUUGUUUUCUCCUCUGAUUUACAGAGUGUUUAGUUCCCCUUCUAUUCCAGAAAAAUUUUAAAUUUAGCUCUAUUAUUUUGCAUAAUAAAACUAAACAUCAUGUAAAAAUUUUAACAAAAGAUGGUUAUUCUCUAUUUUAGAUUUUGAUCUUUCAAAGUAGUUGGCAUUUUGCAUUUUGCAUUUUGUAUUUUAUGGAGAACUAAACAACCCCUUAAACUAAAUCACAAUCUAAUUGAUGAAAUUUAUAGGGAAGCGCUAUGCAAAGUGCCUAUGUGCUUACUGCAAUUUAAACAAAUUUAUUUGUAUAUGCUACUGUGUGCUACUUUAUUUAGUGCCAUCAUAAAAAUUCUAUAAAUAAUUUCUUUUGACAUUUUGUUUCUAAAUUGCAAUGUACAUGGAAAAUACGUGUGCUAGCACUAGCAUAUUUUAUUGUGGCAGGAAGCUAGCACUUAUAUAUUUGCAUUGUAUUUUUUUCUACAUGGAAUACCCUGCGGCGAAAUCCUGGCUCCGCCACUGCUCGCCGACCGGAUGAGCCCCGUCACCGCCCCAAGCACUAGCAGACAUGCCUCCAUCGGUUGCAUCUCAAGCUCCGCCCCAUCCCCAGCUGAUGCCACCCAGAUUGAGCUGCUGUUCUCGUGAAGUGGGAGCUAGAAGAGCUCGUGACGUGGAUCUAAAGUUUGCGAUGCCAGAGCUGCUUGUGGAUCCCUGCUCACUCUCUCUCUAUCUAUCUAUCUAUCUCGCUCUCGCUCUCUCUAUCCUAUUUUUGUUUCCCUCAGAUUUCCCAAUUAAUUUGGUUCCUCAACUAGGGUUUGGAUAGUGGUUGCUGAUGAUUGCAUUUCCCGGCAUGGCAGGUUCGUUCCUGGCACCAACGUUGCGGAAGAAAAUGAUCUAUCCAUGAACUGAUAAAGCUUUGAAUGUUGGUGAAUGGUGACCUUCUGGAAUUGGAGCGAUCUGUUUAUGUUCAUUGUGUGCAGUUCAGAUGCAACUACUGAAAAGCGUCACAUAGAUCCAGAGUCACGAGCUGCUAAUGCUUGGAAUGAGUCCUUGAACCAUUCACAAAAUAUCUAUAUUUGCAGGCAAGUCAAAGAAAAAUCCCUAUUUUGAUUGAUGCCGCAAGAAAGAGGGAGCAGCUGGAUGAGCUUCUCAAUUUUGCAUCUUACAUUGUAUGGUCUGCAAAGUUUCCUCAAGCUUGGACAGGAGCGUCAUCAAUACCUGUUGCUUUAGUAUCCAUGCUCCAAGGUUACCAAACAUCAAAUUUGUUAUUGUAUCCCUGGGGGAGAAAGGUUGCUUAAUGUUUGAGAGAAGCAUGACAAGUUUGUUUACCAUAGCUCUCUAUUGUAAUGUUACAUAAGUACUUGAGAUAAGACAUGGGUACUGAAUGUAUGUUUUGUUAGACCAGUUGGAUGUCUGUUAAAGAUCAGAAAAUUUCGAGAUUGUCUUUCCUUCAUAUUGAGUGUUUGUGAUUAAUUGUCAAGUUAAUUUGCUUAUAAAAUUCUUGAUACAGUGAGAGUGUUUGUGUUUGUUAAGAUAUUUUCAAAUUUGAACCCAUUGCUUUGCAAACCUACCUGUUGUCAAUCUUGCAGCAGUUCUGAACCUGCAUGCUACCACUAAUGGGAGUAGGAGGCUAAUGGCAGUUCUGACAUUAGAGCAUCGGCUGCUGAGGUCUCUUCUUUACCUACUUAUAAUAGGUAGUUAACCUAAAGUCUUCUUAUAUGUUUUUGAAGUCUUCGUAUAUGUACAACAAAAACAUGUAUUGAACCAAUCAUUACCUUUGGUUGACCCACGACAAUACGUGCGUCCAACUUUGCUUUUUAUUAAAUAUCACUUUAACAUUGGUAUUUAAUUUUACAGUAUUGUUAUCUUAUCGUGUGAUCUAUGUAUUUAUAUUAUAAAAUAUUAGCUAUCUCGUAGCAACGUAUGGACAUGCUAUCUAGUUUUUAGAAAAAUAAGAACCCCCUACAGUUUCUAAGAAAAAUCAUAGGGCGCUUUUUUUUCAUAUCGAAGUGUUCUCUAGGAAUAUUUUCUUACGAAAUACCGUAAGGGCUUAGAUUCCCUACGGUUUUGGGUCUUUUCCCUAGGAAUUCAAACUAUAGGGAAACUCGUAAUUUUCAGUAGUGAUAACAAUAAGUUGACUAAAAUAAAACAGUGAGAUUUACUGCAUGGGAACGUAGGAAUGUGAGAGAUGAAAUAAAUGAUUCAAAAAAAAGCCUGCAGAUUUAGAUGAUAAAAAUAAGAUUGUGGCAUUCUUUCUUACUUUUUGUCUGUGAUGAAAAGGGUACUUUAGGUGCAGGAUAUAAUCACUGGAUCAUUGAGAAUUUGUGACAAACAUUUGUUUCCUGCCACACUGCUGCUUAGCACAGUAGUGGGAAUGUCCAGUCUAGCACUGCAGCCAACAGGACGAGUGGAUUGGUCACUGAUGGGUGGAUGCCUGUUGAAUGGCUAUAGCCAUUCACCAAGCAAACUGAAUCGCCGAGCGUCAGAUACACAUUUCUUCAUCAUCUGCCUGGGCCCUGGACGCGUGGGCCUCCAAUCACACGGGCGCAGCCCAAUAGACCCAACUGUGGUGCCUAGGAUGGAAAUGGAUCAGAUUCUCGUAUUGAAUUGGAUUUGGAUGCCACCUUUUACCAUAUUUUAAAUUAGGCAGAGCUCCUGCCAUUACUUUCAAAAAUAUUUUAAAUCAGAUUUGAAUAUAGAUACGGAUCUGGCUAAAUACGCAUGCCUCCGAUUUAGAUUUCUAUUAGGGUAUCAAAUUUAAUUAUCAAAUAAAUAAAGAAAAGGAUCCAAAUGAAAUCAACAUCUAGACUUAGGGUUUUAUCUGACAGAAUUCCACGAGUUUUGGUGUUUGUCUAUUUCUGCAGGGGGUUAUCA
Sorghum bicolor (sorghum) is the source of this 3373-nucleotide RNA transcript. RefSeq lists it as uncharacterized. The transcript has 5 exons. The record is from RefSeq and is a predicted model, not a curated record. Lineage: Eukaryota; Viridiplantae; Streptophyta; Magnoliopsida; Poales; Poaceae.